AUGAGCCAUACAAUGAAGCUAUGGGAGAGAGUCAUUGAGCACCGCUUAAGAAGAAUGACAAGCGUGACCAAAAAUCAGUUUGGUUUCAUGCCUGGGAGGUCGACUAUGGAAGCCAUUUUCUUGGUACGACAACUUAUGGAGAGAUAUAGGGAGCAUAAGAAGGACUUGCAUAUGGUGUUCAUUGACUUGGAGAAGGCCUAUGAUAAGAUACCGCGGAAUGUCAUGUGGUGGGCCUUGGAGAAACACAAAGUCCCAGCAAAGUACAUUACCCUCAUCAAGGACAUGUACAAUAAUGUUGUGACAAGUGUUCGAACAAGUGAUGUCGACACCGAUGACUUCCCGAUUAAGAUAGGACUGCAUCAGGGGUCAGCUUUUAGCCCUUAUCUUUUUGCAUUGGUGAUGGAUGAGGUCACAAGGGGUAUACAAGGAGAUAUCCCAUGGUGUAUGCUCUUUGCGGAUGAUGUGGUGCUAGUUGAUGAUAGUCAGACGGGGGUAAAUAGGAAGUUAGAGUUAUGGAGACAAACCUUGGAAUCGAAAGGGUUUAGGCUUAGUAGAACUAAAACCGAGUACAUGAUGUGCGGUUUCAGUACUACUAGCUGUGAGGAGGAGGAGGUUAGCCUUGAUGGCCAGGUGGUACCUCGGAAGGACACCUUUCGGUAUUUGGGGUCAAUGUUGCAGGAGGAUGGGGGUAUUGAUGAAGAUGUGCACCAUCGAAUCAAAGCCGUAUGGAUGAAGUGGCGCCAAGCUUCUGGCAUUCUCUGUGACAAGAGAGUGCCACAAAAGCUAAAAGGCAAGUUCUACAGGACGGCGGUUCGAUCCGCAAUGUUGUAUGGUGCGGAGUGUUGGCCGACUAAAAGGCGACAAGUUCAACAGUUAGGUGUGGCGGAGAUGCGUAUGUUGAGAUGGAUGUGUGGCCACACGAGGAAGGAUCGAGUCCGGAAUGAUGAUAUACGAGAUAGAGUUGGGGUAGCACCAAUUGAGGAGAUGCUUGUCCAACAUCGUUUGAGAUGGUUUGGGCAUAUUCAACGCAGGCCUCCAGAAGCUCCAGUGCAUAGCGGACGGCUAAAGCGUGCGGAGAAUGUCAAGAGAGGGCGGGGUCGACCGAUUUUGACAUGGGAGGAGUCCGUUAAGAGAGACCUGAAGGAUUGGAGUAUCGACAAAGAGCUAGCUAUGGACAGGGGUGCGUGGAAGCUUGCUAUCCAUGUGCCAGAGCCAUGA
Molecule: ribosomal RNA, 1218 nt
Filed under: Triticum aestivum (bread wheat)
Lineage: Eukaryota; Viridiplantae; Streptophyta; Magnoliopsida; Poales; Poaceae
Description: partial small subunit ribosomal RNA
Source: RNAcentral